This 501-nucleotide ribosomal RNA is filed under the name Ocellularia neocaledonica. RNAcentral describes it as "eukaryotic LSU rRNA". It matches the Rfam family "Eukaryotic large subunit ribosomal RNA", at positions 149 to 665 of the family's 3401-position model. The record is from RNAcentral. Lineage: Eukaryota; Fungi; Ascomycota; Lecanoromycetes; Ostropales; Graphidaceae.
UUUGUAGAAGGUGCUUCGGGUGCGGCCACGGUCCAAGUCCCCUGGAACAGGGCGUCGCAAAGGGUGAGAAUCCCGUACGCGACCGAUGGUCAAGUCCAUGUGAAGUCCUUUCGACGAGUCGAGUUGUUUGGGAAUGCAGCUCCAAAUGGGUGGUAAAUUUCAUCUAAAGCUAAAUAUCUGCCGGAGAUCGAUAGCGCACAAGUAGAGUGAUCGAAAGAUGAAAAGCACUUUGAAAAGAGAGUCAAAUAGUACGUGAAAUUGUUGAAAGGGAAGCGCUUGCAACGAGACUCGUUCGCGGUUGUUCAGUCGUCCUUCGGGACGGUGCACUCUCCCGCGUUUCGGGCCAGCAUCGGUUCUGGCGGCCGGACAAAGGCUCUGGGAACGUAGCUCUCUUCGGAGAGUGUUAAGCCCGGGGUACAAUGCGGCCAGCUGGGACCGAGGACCGCGCAUUCGCUAGGAUGCUGGCGUAAUCGUUGUCAGCGACCCGUCUUGAAACACGGA